AUGUUCGCUUCGGCAGCAUACAUAUAAAACUAGAAUGGUACAGAGAAGAGUAGUAUGGCCCCUGAGCAAGGAUUAAGCAAAUUGAUGAAGAGUUCCAUACUUUUUUU
Phodopus roborovskii (desert hamster) is the source of this 107-nucleotide small nuclear RNA. NCBI's taxonomy places the organism in Eukaryota, Metazoa, Chordata, Mammalia, Rodentia, Cricetidae. The record is from RefSeq and is a predicted model, not a curated record.